This 469-nucleotide ribosomal RNA is filed under the name uncultured bacterium. Its description in RNAcentral is "partial 16S ribosomal RNA". It matches the Rfam family "Bacterial small subunit ribosomal RNA", at positions 28 to 507 of the family's 1533-position model. The record is from RNAcentral.
GACGAACGCUGGCGGCGUGCUUAACACAUGCAAGUCGAACGGAAAGGCCCUGCUUGCAGGGUGCUCGAGUGGCGAACGGGUGAGUAACACGUGGGUGAUCUGCCCCUUACUUUGGGAUAAGCCUGGGAAACUGGGUCUAAUACAGGAUAGGACCAUGCUGUAGGUGGUGUGGUGGAAAGAUUAGUUUCGGUAAGGGAUGAGCUCGCGGCCUAUCAGCUUGUUGGUGGGGUAAUGGCCUACCAAGGCGUCGACGGGUAGCCGGCCUGAGAGGGUGGACGGCCACAUUGGGACUGAGAUACGGCCCAGACUCCUACGGGAGGCAGCAGUGGGGAAUAUUGCACAAUGGGCGCAAGCCUGAUGCAGCGACGCCGCGUGGGGGAUGACGGCCUUCGGGUUGUAAACUCCUUUCAGCCAUGACGAAGCCCUUGUGGUGACGGUAGUGGUAGAAGAAGCACCGGCUAACUACGUG